GAAGGCUGAAAAGUCCCGAACAUCACUUGACCCUGGCCCAGUGCUGGUAGUAGACUCCAUACUUAAAACCAAAUCCCUGGACAACCUAUUAGCUAACUCAUUAACAAACGGGAAAAUGUCCUGUAUCACAAUCAAUCCCUUUACAUCCUCCCCACCAUCAUACUUGGACAAACCACGUGAUAUUCCCAUAGUCUCCAACAAUGACCCAAGGGUACUUCGGCAAGAGAGAUACAAAGGGUCAUCAUAAGCCACCUUCCUAAGCAACUUACAAAACUCUAAUAC
Molecule: unclassified non-coding RNA, 282 nt
Filed under: Hevea brasiliensis (rubber tree)
Lineage: Eukaryota; Viridiplantae; Streptophyta; Magnoliopsida; Malpighiales; Euphorbiaceae
Source: RNAcentral